UAUUGGACAAUGGGCGAAAGCCUGAUCCAGCCAUGCCGCGUGUGUGAAGAAGGUCUUCGGAUUGUAAAGCACUUUAAGUUGGGAGGAAGGGCAUUAACCUAAUACGUUAGUGUUUUGACGUUACCGACAGAAUAAGCACCGGCUAACUCUGUGCCAGCAGCCGCGGUAAUACAGAGGGUGCAAGCGUUAAUCGGAAUUACUGGGCGUAAAGCGCGCGUAGGUGGUUUGUUAAGUUGGAUGUGAAAUCCCCGGGCUCAACCUGGGAACUGCAUACAAGACUGACUGACUAGAGUAUGGUAGAGGGUGGUGGAAUUUCCUGUGUAGCGGUGAAAUGCGUAGAUAUAGGAAGGAACACCAGUGGCGAAGGCGACCACCUGGACUAAUACUGACACUGAGUGCGAAA
RNAcentral lists this ribosomal RNA (403 nucleotides) under uncultured bacterium. Its description in RNAcentral is "bacterial SSU rRNA". It matches the Rfam family "Bacterial small subunit ribosomal RNA", at positions 362 to 758 of the family's 1533-position model. The record is from RNAcentral.